UUUAGUAUUGCUCAGUUGGUAGAGCAUGAGACUCGUAAUUUCAGGGCCAUGGGUUCAAGCCUAUGUUGGGCAAAA
Non-coding RNA from Podarcis lilfordi (Lilford's wall lizard), 75 nucleotides. The record is from the annotation of a GenBank genome assembly. NCBI's taxonomy places the organism in Eukaryota, Metazoa, Chordata, Lepidosauria, Squamata, Lacertidae.